Molecule: ribosomal RNA, 433 nt
Filed under: uncultured bacterium
Lineage: Bacteria
Description: partial 16S ribosomal RNA
Rfam family: Bacterial small subunit ribosomal RNA
Source: RNAcentral
AACGAACGCUGGCGGCAUGCCUAACACAUGCAAGUCGAACGAGACCUUCGGGUCUAGUGGCGCACGGGUGCGUAACGCGUGGGAACCUGCCCUUAGGUUCGGAAUAACUCCCCGAAAGGGGUGCUAAUACCGGAUAAUGUCUUCGGACCAAAGAUUUAUCGCCUUUGGAUGGGCCCGCGUUUGAUUAGCUAGUUGGUAGGGUAAAAGCCUACCAAGGCGACGAUCCAUAGCUGGUCUGAGAGGAUGAUCAGCCACACUGGGACUGAGACACGGCCCAGACUCCUACGGGAGGCAGCAGUGGGGAAUAUUGGACAAUGGGCGAAAGCCUGAUCCAGCCAUGCCGCGUGAGUGAUGAAGGCCUUAGGGUUGUAAAGCUCUUUUACCCGGGACGAUAAUGACGGUACCGGGAGAAUAAGCCCCGGCUAACUCCGUG